This is a long non-coding RNA of Sus scrofa (pig), 937 nucleotides long. RefSeq lists it as uncharacterized. Lineage: Eukaryota; Metazoa; Chordata; Mammalia; Artiodactyla; Suidae. The record is from RefSeq and is a predicted model, not a curated record.
AGUGUUGAAAGUUCAAGACCUAAGUUAUUUGCGGAACUAACAAGACCCAACAGAAUACUUGCUAGAAUGAAGGCUUUAGGAUUUAAAGCUUAUGCACAAUAUGCCAUCAGGACUGCUUUUUGGAUGCAUUUACUAGUUCACUAUAAUUUAUUUAUUCUUGCAUAUUUUUGGAUCACAUAAAGUGCAGGCUACUUGCAAGCAAAGAUAGUGCCUCCUGUUUCUCCACUGUGCUGAUAUACAGCCUUGUUCGUUAUAAGUGACCAGAACUGCUUGGUCCAUCCAUGCUGCUGCAAAUGGCAUUCUUUCAUUCAACAGAAAAUUUUAGAAGCUUAUCAAAAGCUUUUGUUGCUUGGAACCCAGCCACCAUGCUGUACGGAAGCCCAAGCAGCCCCAUGGAGAGGCCCAUGUGAAGGACAACGAAGUGCCCUGACUGACAACCCCAGCAGAGCUCCUGGUUGUAAUCUGAUGGUCAUGGGCUCUCCUCAUCCCCUGCUCCCUCAAGUGCCCCAUUUUGGCUAACCAAAUGAAGCCAGCUGACAGCCACCUCCUGGAAAGACAGAAAGACGGUCUGCACAGGGAGCAGAACUGGGGAAACAAGCCCAGGAUCAGCACAGCAGAUAAACAAAGGACAGCAAGCGUGAAGUGGGGAAGAAAGCAGAGGGUUUAGCCCUGCUGUGGCCAUGGAGACAGAAGAGGAAUUGAUAAAGAAGCAGAAAUGGUCCAGCCAGGUUUUCAUAUGAUCACUAGAAGACUUAUAGAUGUAUUCUCACCUACAUCACUGCCAUCUUAUUGGUGAGUAAUGUGGGCUCACAAACUGGUCUAAAAUCCACAGGACUAAAUACAAAGCAUUAGACAGAUCACUAGCAAUGAAAUUGAAUAUGUCAUAAAAACACUCCCUACAAAUAAAAGUCCAGGACCAGAUGGCUUCAUAGGUGAA